ACGAACGCUGGCGGCAGGCCUAACACAUGCAAGUCGAGCGCGGACUUCGGUUCUAGCGGCGGACGGGUGAGUAACGCGUGGGAAUGUGCCCUUCUCUACGGAAUAGCCCUGGGAAACUGGGAGUAAUACCGUAUACGCCCUAUUGGGGAAAGAUUUAUCGGAGAAGGAUCAGCCCGCGUUGGAUUAGGUAGUUGGUGGGGUAAUGGCCUACCAAGCCGACGAUCCAUAGCUGGUUUGAGAGGAUGAUCAGCCACACUGGGACUGAGACACGGCCCAGACUCCUACGGGAGGCAGCAGUGGGGAAUCUUAGACAAUGGGGGCAACCCUGAUCUAGCCAUGCCGCGUGAGUGAUGAAGGCCUUAGGGUUGUAAAGCUCUUUCAGCUGGGAAGAUAAUGACGGUACCAGCAGAAGAAGCCCCGGCUAACUCCGUG
This 432-nucleotide ribosomal RNA is filed under the name uncultured bacterium. Its description in RNAcentral is "partial 16S ribosomal RNA". It matches the Rfam family "Bacterial small subunit ribosomal RNA", at positions 29 to 507 of the family's 1533-position model. The record is from RNAcentral.